This 199-nucleotide long non-coding RNA is filed under the name Elaeis guineensis (African oil palm). Its description in RNAcentral is "long non-coding RNA (EGUI_LNC038348)". Lineage: Eukaryota; Viridiplantae; Streptophyta; Magnoliopsida; Arecales; Arecaceae. The record is from RNAcentral.
AUGAAAAGAGAAAGAGACGAACUACACCAGCGAUAAGUGAAAAAUAAACUACACCGAAGACCCGAGGGACCUCGUCUCAACGAGGAAGGAUACUCCUAUCAAAAAAAAAAAAAAACCUCAGCCACUAAAAGGAAACUCGGCACAGGCCGAGGACAAAUUGACUUCCUCAAAGUAAUGAAAAGUUUGGAUCCCCAAGCUC